UACGAAGGUCCCAAGCGUUCUCCGGAUUUAUUGGGUUUAAAGGGUGCGUAGGCGGGCUAUUAAGUCAGUGGUGAAAGCCCCAAGCUUAACUUGGGAACUGCCAUUGAUACUGAUGGUCUUGAGUACAUUUGAGGUGGGCGGAAUGUGUCAUGUAGCGGUGAAAUGCUUAGAUAUGACACAGAACACCGAUUGCGAAGGCAGCUCACUAAACUGUAACUGACGCUGAGGCACGAAAGCGUGGGGAGCAAACAGG
RNAcentral lists this ribosomal RNA (253 nucleotides) under uncultured bacterium. RNAcentral's name for it is "partial 16S ribosomal RNA". It matches the Rfam family "Bacterial small subunit ribosomal RNA", at positions 524 to 776 of the family's 1533-position model. The record is from RNAcentral.